This 429-nucleotide ribosomal RNA is filed under the name Verrucomicrobiota bacterium. RNAcentral describes it as "Verrucomicrobia bacterium partial 16S ribosomal RNA". It matches the Rfam family "Bacterial small subunit ribosomal RNA", at positions 355 to 776 of the family's 1533-position model. Lineage: Bacteria; Pseudomonadati; Verrucomicrobiota. The record is from RNAcentral.
UAGGGAAUCUUCCGCAAUGGACGAAAGUCUGACGGAGCAACGCCGCGUGAGUGAAGAAGGAUUUCGGUUCGUAAAACUCUGUUGUUAGGGAAGAAAAAAUGUAUAGUAACUAUAUACAAAAGAGACGGUACCUAACCAGAAAGCCACGGCUAACUACGUGCCAGCAGCCGCGGUAAUACGUAGGUGGCAAGCGUUGUCCGGAAUUAUUGGGCGUAAAGCGCGCGCAGGUGGUUUAGAAAGUCUGAUGUGAAAGACCACGGCUCAACCGUGGAGGGUCAUUGGAAACUAAUAAACUUGAGUGCAGGAGAGAAAAGUGGAAUUCCUAGUGUAGCGAUGAAAUGCGUAGAGAUUAGGGGGAACACCGGUGGCGAAAGCGGCUUUUUGGCCUGCAACUGACACUGAGGCGCGAAAGCGUGGGGAGCAAACAGG